ACACGUAAGCCUCGAGCGUUGUUCGGAAUUAUUGGGCGUAAAGGGUAUGUAGGCGGAGCUGAAAGCCUGUCGUGAAAUGCAGAAGCUUAACUUCUGAGCUGCGAUGGGAACUUCAGUUCUGGAAUCACUGAAGGGCAGCCGGAAUUCCAGGUGUAGGGGUGAAAUCUGUAGAUAUCUGGAAGAACACCGAUGGCGAAGGCAGGCUGCUGGCAGAUGAUUGACGCUGAGGUACGAAAGUGCGGGUAGCGAACAGGAUUAGAUACCCUGGUAGUCCGCACAGUAAACGAUGCACACUAGGUGUAGGGGCAGAAGUCUCUGUGCCGGAGCGAACGUGAUAAGUGUGCCGCCUGGGGAGUAUGCCCGCAAGGGUGAAACUCAAAUGAAUUGACGGGG
RNAcentral lists this ribosomal RNA (393 nucleotides) under uncultured bacterium. Its description in RNAcentral is "partial 16S ribosomal RNA". It matches the Rfam family "Bacterial small subunit ribosomal RNA", at positions 523 to 918 of the family's 1533-position model. The record is from RNAcentral.